The submitters of this non-coding RNA (147 nucleotides) gave its source as unclassified sequences. The record is from Rfam.
CAUGAUAAGACUAAGAUAGUCUUGGAUUGUAUAGAGGGUAGUCGCAGUCGCCCCAACUCCGACUCUUGCGCAGUACACUGCGCAAGAGUAAGGUGAGAAACAACUUCGGUUGGAAACUUUAAUUUUGUUAAGGAAUUAGAGAACUGU